UGAACAGUUACUUUCCCGCUGGUGGAAA
RNAcentral lists this small RNA (28 nucleotides) under Bombyx mori (domestic silkworm). RNAcentral describes it as "ovarian small RNA-30685". The record is from RNAcentral. Lineage: Eukaryota; Metazoa; Arthropoda; Insecta; Lepidoptera; Bombycidae.